Molecule: long non-coding RNA, 947 nt
Organism: Andrographis paniculata
Lineage: Eukaryota; Viridiplantae; Streptophyta; Magnoliopsida; Lamiales; Acanthaceae
Exons: 2
Source: RefSeq, a predicted model, not a curated record
CGCGGCUCGGCUCGGCUGGCGCUUUCACAUAUUGGAGCCACACAAAUCCUUGAGAUUUCUUGUCGUCUUCACUCAAUCAUUUCAUAUUUAUUUAUUUAUUUUUACUUUAAUCUGCGAAACAAUCAUUUGGUGAUGAGUGAUGGAGAUAAUGGAAAAAAGGGUAAAAAGGUCUGAUAAAGUCGCCGGCCAGGCAACAGGUGCCUAAAUUGUUUGGUCUUGACUGGUGUGCAAAGAUAACAUUGAAGAUUAUUGCCUGUCAGAAAUGGGAAGGUACAUUUAAUGGUAGAUAUUUUAUCAUCAUUUCGACUGCUCAGCCCAAAUUGGUAAUGGCUCUAUGUGGGCGUAUGGCCCAUCCAAUUCGAGCCCUUCUUCUUGUCGAUUUGGACUACUACAGUUGUAAAGUAAUGUCAAGAUAUGGCUGCAAGACGAGGCGCGCAAGGUGUUUGAUGAAAUGCGUGAAUGAUUCUAUCAUUCAUUACUGUUGGUGGCGACAUUUCGAAUUCACCCCAUCCCGUGUCAUGUUCGUUUUCCAUGUUUGGUUUUCGAAUGCAAUCCCGAGAAGGGGGUUUAUUAAAGGAAAGUGGAAUAUUUGAGCCUGCAUUUACGUGGAGAGAAUGAGGUAGAUAGUGCUGGAAAAGCAAUGGAUCUUGCUAUCUUGCCAUUGAUGAUUUCUUAGGAGCGUCAAGAGUUCUUAAGAAAAGUUGUUCUUCCUACGCUUGUUUUGCAGCCCUGGACUGUAGACGUAUACAACUACUAAUUUAAGUGCAGUGGGCUCUCAAUUGAACACCAAAAUAAGAACAAACAAAGAAAUCACUGUUUCAUUGUAUAUUCUGCAAUAUGUUGAGUGGCUUUAAUUUUUUGAGUGGCUUUAAUUCGAAUCCUGGAAGUUUAAAUCUUUGUUGGUUUGUGCUAUUUUGUUCCAUUCCUUUAAUAUAUACAUUUUUCAA